RNAcentral lists this transfer RNA (64 nucleotides) under Calocaris macandreae. Its description in RNAcentral is "tRNA-His". It matches the Rfam family "tRNA". Rfam says of the family: Transfer RNA (tRNA) molecules are approximately 80 nucleotides in length. Their secondary structure includes four short double-helical elements and three loops (D, anti-codon, and T loops). Lineage: Eukaryota; Metazoa; Arthropoda; Malacostraca; Decapoda; Axiidae. The record is from RNAcentral.
AUUUAAGUAGUUUAAAUGAAAAAUAUUAGUCUGUGACACUAAAGAUACUGGUGAGUCUUAGAUC